Molecule: ribosomal RNA, 462 nt
Filed under: Meridolum depressa
Lineage: Eukaryota; Metazoa; Mollusca; Gastropoda; Stylommatophora; Camaenidae
Description: partial 12S ribosomal RNA
Source: RNAcentral
GUCAAACUUUAGUUACGAGAAAUACGUAGCAGGGGAACACACCUAGCAGCAUUACGAGUGGUGAAAUACAGAAAUAAAUACCUCUGCCCGCGUGUUUAAGAAUUGAAACACUGCUGCUAAACAGGGAUUAGAGACCCCUUUAUACAAGUGCUUAUUUAUACUGCGGAGUACUAAAACCUUAAGGGUUAAAACUUAAACAACAUGGCGGUAAUCUUCACUUAGGGGAACUUACCUUAUAAUUGAUAACCACCAAGGUCAAAUAACUACUCAAAAAUCUUGUAUGCCGUCGUCGUCAGGUGGCACUUAAUGUUCUACCAGGAUAGUCAUCUUAAAAGACAGAUCAAGGUGCAGACAAUUGGGUAGUAGUGGCGAGUUACAUUUUCAACUAUUAACGGAUAAACUACGUAAUUAACAUACUGAAGAUGGACUUAACAGUAAUAGAAACUAUUAUUAAUCUAUGAA